CCCUGCCCUUUGUACACACCGCCCGUCGCUACUACCGAUUGAAUGGGUUAGUGAGACCUUUAGAUUGGUUAAUAUAACGUGGUAACACGUCUUAUUUACUAAGAAGUUGGUCAAACUUGUCCAUUUAGAGGAAGUAAAAGUCGUAACAAG
RNAcentral lists this ribosomal RNA (150 nucleotides) under uncultured eukaryote. RNAcentral's name for it is "partial small subunit ribosomal RNA". It matches the Rfam family "Eukaryotic small subunit ribosomal RNA", at positions 1651 to 1798 of the family's 1831-position model. The record is from RNAcentral.